Molecule: unclassified non-coding RNA, 390 nt
Filed under: soil metagenome
Description: partial contains 5.8S ribosomal RNA, internal transcribed spacer 2, and large subunit ribosomal RNA
Rfam family: 5.8S ribosomal RNA (bases 2-121)
Source: RNAcentral
GUGAAGAACGCAGCGAAAUGCGAUACUUGGUGUGAAUUGCAGAAUCCCGUGAACCAUCGAGUCUUUGAACGCAAGUUGCGCCCGAAGCCAUUAGGCCGAGGGCACGCCUGCCUGGGCGUCACACGUCGUUGCCCCCCCAUCUACUCCUUCGGGAUUGCGGGGGGCGGAUGAUGGCCUCUCGUGCGCCUCGUCGCGCGGUUGGCCUAAAUGCCAAGUCCUCGGCGACGCACGCCACGACAAUCGGUGGUUGCGAAACCUCGGUUGCCUGUCGUGUGCGGUCGUCGCGCAUCGAGGGCUCGAAAAAAUUGCCGGGCUUCGGCUCGACUUUCAACGCGACCCCAGGUCAGGCGGGGUUACCCGCUGAAUUUAAGCAUAUCAAUAAGCGGAGGA